GUUUUCUGGUCUUUUCUGUUCCCCGUCCCAGCCGCAUCAUUUCAUUUCUAUGGGGUUUUCAGAAAUUGAUACAUGAUGGUCUUCUUGUUGGGCAUUAUGGUUAGAAGUGGGUUUGCUUUCUCAUUGAUCUUAGAGCACUUGCCUUGAGGUUGUGAGGCAGAGAAGGUGACGAUGGCUACUUAUUACCCCAGUUUAACCAGCCAGAGAGACAACAUGCAAAGUCCAUAUCUAGGAGACCAGAAACUUGCUUCUUAUUCUG
This 259-nucleotide unclassified non-coding RNA is filed under the name Hevea brasiliensis (rubber tree). Lineage: Eukaryota; Viridiplantae; Streptophyta; Magnoliopsida; Malpighiales; Euphorbiaceae. The record is from RNAcentral.